Molecule: ribosomal RNA, 253 nt
Filed under: uncultured bacterium
Lineage: Bacteria
Description: partial 16S ribosomal RNA
Rfam family: Bacterial small subunit ribosomal RNA
Source: RNAcentral
UACGUAGGGGGCUAGCGUUGUCCGGAAUCAUUGGGCGUAAAGAGCGUGUAGGCGGUCCGGUAAGUCCGCUGUGAAAGUCGGGGGCUCAACCCUCGAAUGCCGGUGGAUACUGUCGGGCUAGAGUGCGGAAGAGGCGAGUGGAAUUCCUGGUGUAGCGGUGAAAUGCGCAGAUAUCAGGAAGAACACCUAUGGCGAAAGCAGCUCUCUGGGACGGUACUGACGCUGAGACGCGAAAGCAUGGGGAGCGAACAGG